GAAGAGCACCAGUUGGCAGUCGUGCCUGUCUACCCGGUCAAUCUAACGGACGAAAAAAAGCUCCUCGCUAUGCAGGCAUUAUUUUCGGGCCGGUACAUCUGAGUUUUAGUUCACCGGCCUCUAAAUAUCCUCAAAUCUUUCAGCAUACACAUCAUCUUGGCUCGAGGAUUUAAACGCUACUCGUUUCUUCACGGUAGUUCAGGUCCUGCAGGCAACGGACGACAUCGAAGCCAAGUACUUGUUCCAAUUCACGAAUUCGGCAAAACGAAUCUCCCUAUGCUGAUUUUUCGAGUGGUUUAAAUCAAUCGACUUGAUGAUCGACAUUCUUCUUCUACCGGUCUCUUAUAGACUUGUUGCAGCAAGUUUGUUGUAUUCAAUGACUGUUUUAAAGAACACCGAUGAUUGGUCUUUGCUGACUGAAACUGUCAUUUGACUCCCUGUUUAUUUCAUAUCCGUUACUCUACUGUGUAGUAAAAUUUAUUGGAGAGUGAUUUGUCUCAUUACGAGCCUCGAUUUAUGCAAAAAAAAAAAGGAUGACAGCAAUCUAAGCAUGACAACGCGCAUCGAUUGGCAAUCGAACGAUUACAGCGAUAAUACCGACUCCGCAAUUGCCGCAGGGCGCGGAAAAUAUAAUCGGGGAAUAACAAGCCUCGAGCGGUAGCCGGCAAGGACGGAGAUAAAAUAUUACAUAAAAUGAGAGAAAGAGGGACGGACGGAAUCGAGCGAGAGGGGAAUACCCUGCGAAAGAAGGAGCGGAGAUACAGGUGGUUGUGAAAGGGCCACCUGCGCGGCAUGCGGGCCUCCGAGGAGUGCCGGAGUGUCUCCGUGGAUCGAGCCGAGUGUCUCUCUGCACGCCCCAAGAGCCUCCAGGGGAACGCUGGCGCGUGCUGCCGCCGUUGCUGCUGCUGCUGUUGUUGCUGCUGUUGCUGCUACUCGGUUCAUCGCUUUGCUUCCGUCUCAAUUGUUGCGCGUCCGUGUGCG
This 981-nucleotide long non-coding RNA is filed under the name Neodiprion lecontei (redheaded pine sawfly). Its description in RNAcentral is "uncharacterized LOC124293157". Lineage: Eukaryota; Metazoa; Arthropoda; Insecta; Hymenoptera; Diprionidae. The record is from RNAcentral.